This 2167-nucleotide long non-coding RNA is filed under the name Homo sapiens (human). RNAcentral's name for it is "non-protein coding lnc-PLCD3-4:4". Lineage: Eukaryota; Metazoa; Chordata; Mammalia; Primates; Hominidae. The record is from RNAcentral.
CGCCGCCAUUUUGGGCUGGGAGGAGGCAGCGGAGGGACUCGCUGCGCAGUGAGAGCACCCCGUGGGGGGUGGUCCGGGCGCGGGGAGAGGCCGGGCCGAGUGGGCUACCUGAAGUGGCGGCGCCGGGAGACGGCGGGAAGUGGGACCGGGGGCCAGGGAGGGUGAAGGUUGGAGUCUCCUCGGCCGAGCCCGGUCCUCAAACCGUCCCGGCAGCCCCGCAGCCUCGCCUCUCACAGAGUGCGGGGUUCUUCGAUGUUUUACAACUGGAUUACAAAAUAGGAUCAUCAUUGACUAGGGUCCUCAAUCCAAAACUGGAACCACUUACUCCUAACUGAAGCUUCAGUACACUUGAUGCCUACUGUGGUUUGAUUUUUUACCUACAUAUGACAUGUUCGCUCUACACUGAUCAAGAGAUCAUCAAGAAAGAAAACCAAGGCACUAGAAAGCAAGCACACUUAAGUAUUGAAGAUAAUUACAUCUUAAAUUUUGCCUGAACUGUAUAUUGUAGCAUACUUAAACCCAUUCAAGGAAAAAAUUGGCAAAUUGAAAAUUCUCCCAUUAAAGAUUGAUAUUUUUGCAAACUGACAAAUUUAACGAUUUCGGUACCCCUCCCCAAAAAUGCAGUCACAUAAAAUAUAUCAAUACUAUUUUGAAUUAGCUCUAGAAAUCACACUGAAACUAUGUUACAUUUACAAAUAUUAAAUUUAUUAUAACUAAAAUGAAUUUAAUUGUUCUCAGAUUUGGCCACCUUAUAGCUCCGUUUAAGGAGGGGAUUUGUUAAAAACAAAAAUGCAUUAUAACUUGGUCAAAUUACUUUCACAUUAAGGAAAAAAACUUCUAAAAAGGAAAACAAGAAAAGCAACUCUUCAGUUUCACAUAAUUAAAAGAACAGGAGAAAGCACGCAAGCUACAUAUAGCUAAAUUUACGAAACCAAAGCCAGGGGGAUUUCUCUUCUGAUUAUGUGUCAUAAAAAGGUCCACUGUCUUAUAUACACAUGUAUAUAAUGUUACAUUCCAUCACUGUAAAAAGUCCCCUUUGCCCCCUCCCCCAAAAAAGUUUCAGUCUAGUCUCCAAACUUGGAAAGCGGCGCUCGCUCCUGCUGCCGGUGCAGUUCGUUCUCGGUCAGCAGCUGGAGGUUCUCGGCGCGCAGCCGGUCCAGCUCCAGCUCCAGCUCCCGCACACGCGCGUCGUCGCCACCCAGCCGCUUGCUCUCCAGCCGCAGCCGGUUGUUCUCGUCCUCCAUGCGCGAGAGGCACUUCUCCAGUUCCAGGUACUCCUUGAUGAGCUCCUGCUUGCUCAUGUUCUGCAGGCUCUCCGUGUGGUACCGCUCGUACGUCUCCGAGAAGUCCCGCUGCAGAAACUCGCUGCCGUCCCCUCCCAUCCCAUCGCUGCCCCCAUCCUCCUCACCCCCUUCUUCCAUGAAGUCGUCAUCGCUGGUGUCGUCGGAUUUGGCGGCGGCCCGCUUGGAGUACAGGCCGGUUUUGAGAUCCGGCUCCUCCUGGUCGUGAUCAUCCAUGAGGAACUGCGUGGUGUUAUAGGGCGCGACCGGCUGGCCCUUGGCGAACAUCUCGGCUCGGAUCCUUGAAGCUCGAAGGCUCUGUUUCUCGUCGAACUUUUUCUUCUCUUCCCAGGUCAGCUUGUAGUACGGUUUCCAAUGCCGCUUCUUCUUGGACGGGCGUCUCCUAUGUUUUUUCUUCCCCAGCUGUCUCUGCUGCUGUCCCCACUCCUCUUCGCCCCCUGCGGCAGGAGCCCCCAACUUACUGGCCUCGGAGUCAUGACAAGGCUGGGCGAGCAGCUCGGCCUCGGGCGUCGGUUCCACUUCUGCCGGCGGCGGGAAGUCGCCGCCAGCGGACGAGUCGUCCCCAUUCUGGCCCUUCUCGCCCUCUCUCAGGCAGCUAGAUUCUGGACAGGCCUGGGUCUGCAAGGGAGGUGGUUGGGAUUCCAGGCUCCCUUCCCCCUCCGGCCCCGGACGGCCACCCAACUGGGGGAACGCUCUCGAUUGCCACCUACUGUCCUCCUCGGGCACCCGCUCCUCCGCGCCUGGGGGGCGCUCAGGGUUCAGCUCUUCCUGGACAGCAGCAGCACCUGUACAGUUGCUAGUUUGAGGCUGGUGUUGAUAUUCUGACAAGAAUGGCUCGGCCAUGGCUAGUAGAGUCCUCGAAGUUU